RNAcentral lists this small nuclear RNA (178 nucleotides) under Mus pahari (shrew mouse). RNAcentral describes it as "snRNA (MGP_PahariEiJ_G0033187.1)". It matches the Rfam family "U4 spliceosomal RNA". From Rfam's summary of the family: U4 small nuclear RNA (U4 snRNA) is a component of the major U2-dependent spliceosome. The structure of U4 snRNA from yeast and human has been reported. U4 snRNA presents a k-turn RNA motif in the 5p-SL related to recognition of Snu13 protein. The record is from RNAcentral. Lineage: Eukaryota; Metazoa; Chordata; Mammalia; Rodentia; Muridae.
AUGUAGAAGCUUUGCACAAUGGCAGUAUUGUAGCCAAUGAGGUUUAUUUUAGGCGCGAUUUUAUUGCUAAUUGAAAACUUUUCCCAAAAGUUACAUGUAUAAAUAAUAGGAGACAAAUGCACGCGGUGAUUACUUUCGAUACUAUUAACCCACUAAUGUGUGGUAUGCUUAAAGAAGU